RNAcentral lists this long non-coding RNA (624 nucleotides) under Anser brachyrhynchus (Pink-footed goose). Its description in RNAcentral is "lncRNA (ENSABRG00000018935.1)". The record is from RNAcentral. Lineage: Eukaryota; Metazoa; Chordata; Aves; Anseriformes; Anatidae.
UGGAAACAGCAGCUGUGAUCAUUCCUGCAGCUGAAACUUUCAGCUACCUCUUUGCUGAAUGAUGUUAAUGAGAAAGAACCUCAAUUUCCACAGGCUAAUGGGACCACUGGUUCUUUAAUCAGGUUUGUUUUUCUUUUAGCACUGGUCGAAAGCAUGUGAGAAAGGGAGAACAGAAAAGCAUCUGUACCAAUGAAGCGGAGUGAAGGUGGCACGUUCCCAGCAGCGGAGAGACUGCUCUGUGUGCAGGGUGGCCCCAGGACAGGAGCGAGGCAUAAUGGGAGGUUUCCUGGGACAGUCUCUGGAUGUGAAAAUUGUGAGCAGUACACAGGCUGUUAUUCACAGAAUGGUCUGAACAGGAGGUUAUGUUGCAGUGAGAGCCCAUGGGCACAGUGGCACACAGGGACACCCUGGCCUCAGCGUUGCUUUACCCCGCACAUCUACUGCCUGCCCACAGGCAGCAGCCAGGCACCUUCACCUGCAGCUGAGGUUUCUCUGGUGUUGCUCUGGCACUGCCAGAGGUAAUGAAAACUCUCAAUUUCUUGCAAUGGGCCAGUGUAAUUUGUGCAACGUGCAGAGUUAUUCAGUGGCAUUUCCAGGAGGCUGUAAUCAGGGAGAGCUUUAAAA